RNAcentral lists this ribosomal RNA (200 nucleotides) under uncultured bacterium. Its description in RNAcentral is "partial 16S ribosomal RNA". It matches the Rfam family "Bacterial small subunit ribosomal RNA", at positions 29 to 258 of the family's 1533-position model. The record is from RNAcentral.
AACGAACGCUGGCGGCAGGCUUAACACAUGCAAGUCGAGCGCCUCGCAAGAGGAGCGGCAGACGGGUGAGUAACACGUGGGAACAUACCCUUUACUACGGAACAACUCCGGGAAACUGGAGCUAAUACCGUAUGUGCCCUUCGGGGGAAAGAUUUAUCGGUAAAGGAUUGGCCCGCGUUGGAUUAGCUAGUUGGUGGGGU